GUGCCAGCAGCCGCGGUAAUACGGAGGAUGCAAGCGUUAUCCGGAUUUAUUGGGUUUAAAGGGUGCGCAGGCGGGCUGUUAAGUCAGCGGUGAAAUGUCCCGGCUCAACCGGGGCACUGCCGUUGAUACUGGCAGCCUAGAGUACAGACGGCGCCGGCGGAAUGUGUCAUGUAGCGGUGAAAUGCUUAGAUAUGCCACAGAACACCGAUCGCGAAGGCAGCUGGCGAGGCUGGGACUGACGCUCAGGCACGAAAGCGUGGGGAUCAAACAGGAUUAGAUACCCUGGUAGUCCACGCAGUAAACGAUGAUAACUUGUUGUCGGCGAUAGACAGUCGGUGACAAAGCGAAAGCGAUAAGUUAUCCACCUGGGGAGUACGAUCGCAAGGUUGAAACUCAAAGGAAUUGACGGGGGCCCGCACAAGCGGAGGAGCAUGUGGUUUAAUUCGAUGAUACGCGAGGAACCUUACCUGGACUCAAAUGUUGACUGACCGAUCCAGAAAUGGAUCUUUCCUUCGGGACAGUCAGCAAGGUGCUGCAUGGUUGUCGUCAGCUCGUGCCGUGAGGUGUCAGGUUAAGUCCUAUAACGAGCGCAACCCCUACGUCCAGUUGCCAGCGGGUAAAGCCGGGGACUCUGGAGGGACUGCCGGCGCAAGCCGAGAGGAAGGUGGGGAUGACGUCAAAUCAGCACGGCCCUUACGUCCAGGGCGACACACGUGCUACAAUGGCCGGUACAGAGGGCAGCCACCUGGUGACAGGGAGCGAAUCUCGAAAGCCGGUCUCAGUUCGGAUCGGAGUCUGCAACUCGACUCCGUGAAGUUGGAUUCGCUAGUAAUCGCGCAUCAGCCAUGGCGCGGUGAAUACGUUCCCGGGCCUUGUACACACCGCCCGU
Molecule: ribosomal RNA, 889 nt
Filed under: uncultured bacterium
Lineage: Bacteria
Description: bacterial SSU rRNA
Rfam family: Bacterial small subunit ribosomal RNA
Source: RNAcentral